RNAcentral lists this transfer RNA (78 nucleotides) under Rattus norvegicus (Norway rat). It matches the Rfam family "tRNA". From Rfam's summary of the family: Transfer RNA (tRNA) molecules are approximately 80 nucleotides in length. Their secondary structure includes four short double-helical elements and three loops (D, anti-codon, and T loops). Further hydrogen bonds mediate the characteristic L-shaped molecular structure. tRNAs have two regions of fundamental functional importance: the anti-codon, which is responsible for specific mRNA codon recognition, and the 3' end, to which the tRNAs corresponding amino acid is attached (by aminoacyl-tRNA synthetases). tRNAs cope with the degeneracy of the genetic code in two manners: having more than one tRNA (with a specific anti-codon) for a particular amino acid; and 'wobble' base-pairing, i.e. permitting non-standard base-pairing at the 3rd anti-codon position. Lineage: Eukaryota; Metazoa; Chordata; Mammalia; Rodentia; Muridae. The record is from Rfam by way of RNAcentral.
GGAGAAGUAGCUCAGUGGUUAAGAGCACUAGUUCCUCUUCCUAGAGGUAGGUCCUGAGUUCAAUUCCCAGCAACUCUG